ACUCUGGGCUAGAUAGAUGGUGCUGAAGACCUUUCCCAGCUGAGGCUCUUCGAAGCAGCUCCUCAGCAGAGAAGAGGAAGACAGGAAAGCAAAAGCGUGUCUACCCUGUUCUGUCCCAUGCUGCACUGUCAAGGACAAAGGUGUAAAAAGACAACACCUUCUGUGGACUAUGCAGUGUAUCAGGGAGGCACUGGGACAAAAUGAGAUCACAAGACCUGGAGAUCCAGAACCAAGAAACCCAAGAGCACCAAGGAAAAGGCAAGCUACUUGAGAGACAAGAAAAGAGUUGGGAUUUGCUGGAGAGCUUGAUGUACAAACUCCAUCCUCAAGAGAACUCCAACUCCAUCUAAUUUGUGCCUACAGAAUUACUGAGCGAUUGGUUGGCUGAGAUGGCCACUCCAGGUGCCACUGCAUUUCCUCCAGACCCCUUAAGAAUCCUGUUCUGCAUUGGAAUGAGGAUAGAAAGUCUCUGGAGCUUAUAUGCUACCAUUUCCCCUUUGGGCAUCAACAUGGAGAUGGAGGAAGUGUGUGGCUUUUCCAGCCGAAGCACCCUGGAGGGUCAACUCAAAGCUGGACACCCCAUGGUUUCUCCUGGCCAUACCCAUCCGCAGCCUGCCAUGCAGGAGGCUGGGGCUGGGAUGGGGCAAAUUUUCUUACAGGACUGGUGACUGGGGGAUGGGGCAAUGCACAACUGACACAGGGAAAGGCUGAACAUAGGAGGAAUGGGAUUCCAUCAGAGCAAUUUGCCCAGCUUUUUUCUUUAUUUCCUUAUACAUUUUUAAAGCAUAUGUAUUGCUAGUAAAAGUGCUGGCUGGACAAAGCUCA
This 825-nucleotide long non-coding RNA is filed under the name Mus musculus (house mouse). RNAcentral's name for it is "predicted gene, 31870". The record is from RNAcentral. Lineage: Eukaryota; Metazoa; Chordata; Mammalia; Rodentia; Muridae.